UCGUCACCUGUCCAAAACAGAACAACCCGCGAACGAACGAUCAUCACUCUCGGUUGGCCGGUUUCUUUACUGAUCCGUGCUUUGCCGAUUCCGUGGUUUCGCGUGUGGUCUUCAUCAAGAUUAAUAGUCUUGAUCGGACCAUGCGUGUUGCUUCCGGAUAUCACAAAACCCCGGCACGAAAAGUGUCAAGGAACAUGCAACAAAACAGCCUGCCUUCGCCGCCCCGGAAACGGUGUGUGUGCGAAAGUUGUGCUGCAAUAUAAAGUCUAUAACGACUCUCGGCAACGGAUAUCUCGGCUCUCGCAUCGAUGAAGAACGUAGCGAAAUGCGAUACUUGGUGUGAAUUGCAGAAUCCCGUGAACAUCGAGUCUUUGAACGCAAGUUGCGCCCCAAGCCUUCAGGCCGAGGGCACGUCUGCCUGGGUGUCACAAAUCGUCGUCCCCAUCCUUUGCGGAUAAGGGACGGAAGUUGGUCUCCCGUGUGUUACCGCACGCGGUUGGCCUAAAUCUGAGCUAAGGACGUCUUGGAGCGUCUCGACAUGCGGUGGUGAAAUAAAGCCUGGUCAUUUMGUCGGUCGCUCCAGUCUGAAUGCUCUUGAUGACCCUAUGUCCUUCAC
RNAcentral lists this unclassified non-coding RNA (616 nucleotides) under Draba incana. RNAcentral's name for it is "sequence contains ITS1, 5.8S rRNA gene, ITS2". The stretch from base 274 to 428 matches the Rfam family "5.8S ribosomal RNA". The record is from RNAcentral. Lineage: Eukaryota; Viridiplantae; Streptophyta; Magnoliopsida; Brassicales; Brassicaceae.